CACUAUGAUCACUGAAAAUCCACUCUCAGUGUCCUCUCAUGUGAAGGCCACAUUGCCCAAAGGCUGCACCCUUCACACUGGGAAGUUGAGAGGUUGCCCAGGUUACAAAGAGCAGAACCCUCUAUAUAGUCCUUAAUGUCCUCCAGGCAGCCUGCUAGCUGCCCUCUGCAGAUGGCCAGUAGGCCUGGGACUGGUGUUCCAGAGCAAGGGGAUAAGUCUCCCAGGACAGAUGAAUGUCCUGCCACCUAGGACUAUUUAGAAAGCCAGUUUCUGUGCCAGGCGUGGUGGUGCAUUCCUGUAAUUCCAGCACUCAGGAGCCCGAGGCAGGAGGAUUGCUGCAAGGCCAGGCUGGACUAUCUACUGAGACCCUCAAACAAAGAUUUGUCUCAAAGCCAACUUCUGACCUGACCACUAAAAGUGGGAUCCUUCCCAUCAGGACACAGGUGUGCAUCCAGAGUACAAUGGUUCGUCUUCGGCUUUCUGGCUCUCCUGGUGCAUGGCCCUAUUCCUAGAGGGCUUAUUGUUAUAGGUGCAGAUUUUCUGAGCCCUAGAGUAAAUUUCACCCACUCUCUCACUUGAAAAACUCACCUCCAUCUUACCACAGAUCUGGUGGUCUCUCCUGAGUCUCCAAAAGAGCCUCACUUCUUUCUGGUCUGAUCCUCAUUUCCUGCAUGGUAUUCUCGAAGGCCCAGCUCCCCUCAAAUCCCUCUCUCACUGCAGCUUUUGCUUCCAGGAUUCCUAGGCCCAUCCUCUCCACCAUUCCGGCGCGCGCUCAGAGGACAGAGGAUAGAACAGCCUGAAGUGGGCUUAGGAAGCUUUGAGUGUGAGUGACCUCGGGGGCAGCCAAAUGGCCCUAAAGGAACAGUAAGCCUAAGGAGCUCUUUCGUGAAGGGGUGGCUCAGGGCUGGGGGAGGUGGGUGGCCCAGUUUAAAGACAGAUUCCCUUGAGUUAAGGGAACAGGCCGAGAAGUCAUAUGACCAAGUGACAUCGUGAUUCACGAGACUGUACCUCAGACUCAAGCCAAUCUGCACGACCGCUGCUUCUGAACGCGGAGCCCUGGAGGAGUCGCCAGGAACAGAGCUAGACAUCCCGGAGGGGACCUGGAAGAGGCUGGGAGCAACCACGGGAUGGCCUGACCCCUCCGCAGAUAGACCUCCUAGCUCUCAACUUGGUCCAAGAACAUCAAGACCCUCAGCCCUGCCUUGGACCUAUGGGAGUCGUAGUCCGGACGUGAGUCCCAGCGUCCCGUGCGCCGCUGACGCACCGUAGCCGAGGGACCCGGCCGGGCGCCACGCUACGGAGGCGGCGUAAAGCGAGUCGUGUUUGGGCGGCUCUACGGAGGCUGCGUAAGAAGGCCGGGCCGGGAGCUCCGCGGCUGAGGCGUGCUGGUCGGGGCAGCGCGCCCAGGGACGAGUAAGGCUGCACCAUUCUCCUUGAAGUUGAGGAUCAGUCCACGGAGACGCCAUUCAGCCGCAAACGCUAAAGAGGCCCCGCUGCUCUCAGAGCCAGCCGCCCUGUCUCCGCCGUGGGCACUCUGCUCUCUCCAUGCUCCCGUUCGUGUGUUGCCGGCCAGAGGUGACCAGGCCCAGCUCUCAGCGUGGCCACUGUCAGGGAGGCCAUGGGGAGCUCCGCCUCCUCCCUGGCCACCGAGACAGAGUCAGACCAUGGCUUCCCUAGGGGGCUGCCCUACCCAGGGACCCCAGCAGCGGCUGGGUGGUGUAGGAGUGGCCCUGGGGCCCCCGUCUGGGGGAGUGCCCUGGUCACCAGGCAGCACCCACGCCCCCGGGCCCGAAGAAGCUGCCUGGAGACCCUCUUGGACCAGGAAAGCUGCUGACCCCAGCCCUCAUGACUAUGACUCCCACAGUCUGCCAUCUGCUGGCAUGGUGAGAGGACCAGCGUGGAGCUGUGGGCAGCACACAGUAGACUGGACUCCUCAGGGGGCUUUGACGUAAGAUUUGAACUCCUGGAGAUGAAGGACAUGAAGGUGUCUUUGAGGCUGUGGGAGAAUCCAAAGUCCUAAGAACUACCCUUGUGAAUGGGAGCUGAAAUCUAGGGAGGACAGGAGCAGAAUAGCAGCAGAGACCAGUGAGAAGGGGGGUGGCCAGGCCUGGUGGCUGCACACUGCUUUUCCUGCACAUGAUGGUGUUAAGAGUGCAUCCGCAGAACCUCUCCAUACUUUGUCACUCUGGGGAACACCUCUAUGUGUCUUUUCAAAUAGCUUUAUUGAGAUAUGGCAUAUCCCAUCAAAUCACCUGUUAGUACAGUCAUUUCCAACCAGUUUAUAGCUUUGUUCAGACAUCCUCACAAACCAGUUAUAACAUCUCUGUACUCCAAAGAGAUCCUCCUGCCUGUUUGUAGUCGCUCCCUCCCUAUCAUGGUCCUAGACAGCGACUAACCUGCUGCCUGUCUAUAGGUUUGCCUUUUCUAGAAGUUUCACAUAAGCGGAGUCAUACAGUGUGUGGCCUUAUGAUCUGGCUGCUUUUACUCAGCA
Molecule: long non-coding RNA, 2491 nt
Organism: Heterocephalus glaber (naked mole-rat)
Lineage: Eukaryota; Metazoa; Chordata; Mammalia; Rodentia; Bathyergidae
Source: Ensembl